GACGAACGCUGGCGGCGUGCUUAACACAUGCAAGUCGAACGGAAAGGCCCUGCUUUUGUGGGGUGCUCGAGUGGCGAACGGGUGAGUAACACGUGAGUAACCUGCCCUUGACUUUGGGAUAACUUCAGGAAACUGGGGCUAAUACCGGAUAGGAGCUCCUGCUGCAUGGUGGGGGUUGGAAAGUUUCGGCGGUUGGGGAUGGACUCGCGGCUUAUCAGCUUGUUGGUGGGGUAGUGGCUUACCAAGGCUUUGACGGGUAGCCGGGCUGAGAGGGUGACCGGCCACAUUGGGAUUGAGAUACGGCCCAGACUCCUACGGGAGGCAGCAGUGUGGAAUAUUACAAAAUGGGCGGAAGCCUGAUGCAGCAACGCCGCGUGCGGGAUGACGGCCUUCGGGUUGUAAACCGCUUUCGCCUGUGACGAAGCGUGAGUGACGGUAAUGGGUAAAGAAGCACCGGCUAACUACGUG
This 468-nucleotide ribosomal RNA is filed under the name uncultured bacterium. RNAcentral's name for it is "partial 16S ribosomal RNA". It matches the Rfam family "Bacterial small subunit ribosomal RNA", at positions 28 to 507 of the family's 1533-position model. The record is from RNAcentral.